ACUGGGCGUAAAGAGUUGCGUAGGUGGUUAUGUAAGUGAAUAGUGAAAGCUGGUGGCUCAACCAUACAGACUAUUAUUCAAACUGAUAGACUCGAGAGUAGUAGAGGUAACUGGAAUUUCUUGUGUAGGAGUGGAAUCCGUAGAUAUAAGAAGGAACACCAAUGGCGUAGGCAGGUUACUGGACUAUCUCUGACACUGAGGCACGAAAGCGUGGGGAGCGAACCGGAUUAGAUACCCGGGUAGUCCACGCCGUAAACGAUGGAUACUAGCUGUUGGAGGUAUCGACCCCUUCAGUAGCGAAGCUAACGCGUUAAGUAUCCCGCCUGUGGAGUACGGCCGCAAGGCUAAAACAUAAAGGAAUUGACGGGGACCCGCACAAGCGGUGGAUUAUGUUCUUUAAUUCGAUGAUAACCGAAGAACCUUACCAGGGCUUGACAUCUAGGGAAGGACUACGAAAGUAGUUUGUGCCUUUUUGGAACCCUAUGACAGGUGAUGCAUGGCCGUCGUCAGCUCGUGUCGUGAGAUGUUAGGUUAAGUCCUUCAACGAGCGCAACCCUUAUUGUCUGUUGUAUUUUUCAGGCAAGACUGCCCCGGUAACGGGGA
This 603-nucleotide ribosomal RNA is filed under the name uncultured Candidatus Saccharibacteria bacterium. RNAcentral describes it as "bacterial SSU rRNA". It matches the Rfam family "Bacterial small subunit ribosomal RNA", at positions 553 to 1167 of the family's 1533-position model. Lineage: Bacteria; Candidatus Saccharimonadota. The record is from RNAcentral.